Molecule: ribosomal RNA, 1108 nt
Filed under: Salmonella enterica
Lineage: Bacteria; Pseudomonadati; Pseudomonadota; Gammaproteobacteria; Enterobacterales; Enterobacteriaceae
Also listed under: 1 other name
Description: partial 23S ribosomal RNA
Rfam family: Bacterial large subunit ribosomal RNA
Source: RNAcentral
CUGCGGCAGCGACACUGUGUGUUGUUGGGUAGGGGAGCGUUCUGUAAGCCUGUGAAGGUGUGUCGUGAGGCAUGCUGGAGGUAUCAGAAGUGCGAAUGCUGACAUAAGUAACGAUAAAGCGGGUGAAAAGCCCGCUCGCCGGAAGACCAAGGGUUCCUGUCCAACGUUAAUCGGGGCAGGGUGAGUCGACCCCUAAGGCGAGGCCGAAAGGCGUAGUCGAUGGGAAACGGGUUAAUAUUCCCGUACUUGGUGUUACUGCGAAGGGGGGACGGAGAAGGCUAUGUUGGCCGGGCGACGGUUGUCCCGGUUUAAGUGUGUAGGUGUGUGUUCCAGGUAAAUCCGGUUCACUUUAACACUGAGGCGUGACGACGAGGCACUACGGUGCUGAAGCAACAAAUGCCCUGCUUCCAGGAAAAGCCUCUAAGCAUCAGGUAACAUCAAAUCGUACCCCAAACCGACACAGGUGGUCAGGUAGAGAAUACCAAGGCGCUUGAGAGAACUCGGGUGAAGGAACUAGGCAAAAUGGUGCCGUAACUUCGGGAGAAGGCACGCUGACACGUAGGUGAAGUGAUUUACUCAUGGAGCUGAAGUCAGUCGAAGAUACCAGCUGGCUGCAACUGUUUAUUAAAAACACAGCACUGUGCAAACACGAAAGUGGACGUAUACGGUGUGACGCCUGCCCGGUGCCGGAAGGUUAAUUGAUGGGGUCAGCGCAAGCGAAGCUCCUGAUCGAAGCCCCGGUAAACGGCGGCCGUAACUAUAACGGUCCUAAGGUAGCGAAAUUCCUUGUCGGGUAAGUUCCGACCUGCACGAAUGGCGUAAUGAUGGCCAGGCUGUCUCCACCCGAGACUCAGUGAAAUUGAACUCGCUGUGAAGAUGCAGUGUACCCGCGGCAAGACGGAAAGACCCCGUGAACCUUUACUAUAGCUUGACACUGAACAUUGAGCCUUGAUGUGUAGGAUAGGUGGGAGGCUUUGAAGUGUGGACGCCAGUCUGCAUGGAGCCGACCUUGAAAUACCACCCUUUAAUGUUUGAUGUUCUAACGUGGACCCGUUACCCGGGUUGCGGACAGUGUCUGGUGGGUAGUUUGACUGGGGCGGUCUCCUCC